Peromyscus maniculatus bairdii (prairie deer mouse) is the source of this 1792-nucleotide long non-coding RNA. RefSeq lists it as uncharacterized. The record is from RefSeq and is a predicted model, not a curated record. Lineage: Eukaryota; Metazoa; Chordata; Mammalia; Rodentia; Cricetidae.
UGAAAACCUCUGUCAGGGGGUGUUGCAUUUGAACACUGCACGCAGUGCCGCUGUCCCCUCUCUGCCCGCUGCACCCCCGCCCCCCAGCCAGCGCUCUCUGCGGUGCUGGCUUGCCUCUCCCGCUCCCCGAAGAGUCCUCAACAAGUUGGAGGGAGGCAGGAGCGCAGGGGUUAAGCUCGGGAAGCUGCAAUUACCAAGAUCGUGACCCUCCCACACAGUACAGUAACUUAUAUACUUACCUGGAAGAGCCCGCUUUGCCGCUGGGCAAACACCCGUGGGGGAGGGGAGGGGCAGGAGGGGAGCGGGCUGGCCAGAGAGGGCCGCUUCCAGACCGCUGAAGUGCACACGGAACCAAUGAACUCCCAAGACUCCCGGACUCAGGUGGCCGAGCCUGUCCUGAUACCGAGGGGUGACCACCCAAGCAAGGCAGUCUCAGAGGUUACAGAAGCUGGAAAGCCUGACUGAAGCAUCUCAGGAGUCCCAGGAACUUAGUUUCCUACACGGAAAGGAAGUUUGGGAAUUUGGCAGUUCUGCUGGAUCAAGCAAAUGAAAGAAUUGUUUGCAGCUGGUGCUGGACCUGAAGCUGUGGACUUGGCGGAAGAAGACAAGUUUCUCUGAUGAAGGAGGUCUAUCUUUAGUCAAAGGUGUAUGAACAGCUGCCCAUCCCUGCUGGACCUUCAAAGGAGCUUGCAAGAUGUCUAUUUCUAGAGCUAGACCAUAGCAGAAGAAGAUCUACUAAAGAGCUGGUUUCUUUUUUCUUUUUUCUUUUUUUAAAGAUUUAUUUAUUAUGUAUACAGUGUUCUGCUUGCAUGUAUCCCUUCAGGCCAGAAGAGGGAGCCAGAUCUCAUUACAGAUGGUUGUGAGCCACCAUAUGGUUGCUGGGAAUAGAACUCAGAACCUCUAGGAAGAACAGCCAGUGCUCUUAACCUCUGAGCCAUCUCUCCAGCCCCAAGAGCUGGUUUCUUUGGCGGGAGAGUGGGGCUGUUGUUUUUGGAUGCAGUGAUGCCCACGAAAAUACUUAACAUGAAAACCCAAUAUUGUUUUCUCAUGAUAAUGUUAUUGCUUAAGGAAAUCAAAUAGUAACUUCUAAGUAGUUUCUAAUGCUAAAGAUUUUAUUUCUUUUAAAUUAGUUUGUUUUUCAUAGAACUUUUUUCUUUUUUUUUCCAACCCAGGAUUUGACAAUUGGAGUGUAGAAUGGAAUCAUAGCUCAGUGUGUCUGGCUGGGAUGUAGCUCUGUCAGUUGACAGAGCGCUCACCUAGUAGGUGCAAAGUGUGCUUCCCAGCACAGAGGAAAUGGCUCUGUUGGUAUCCGCCUAGGUUUCAAGCAUUCAGGAGCUGGAGGUUGGAGGUAACCAGAAGCUCAAGUGUAGGAAGUUCAGAGCCAAUCUGGGUUACAUGAGACCCUGCCAAAAACAAAAAAGCAAGCACAAUGUUGAACUAGGAUCAAAUGAAGAUCAGAUAGAACAGUGGAUGAUGGGAUUGUUAAGAAGAAAUAAUGAAGGGUCUGGUUCUUGUGUCAAAGGUUUAGUUAUGAUGGUAUUCUUAAAAACUCCCAACUUCUGUGACAUUUCCUCAUUAUGAAAUUUUCUUUUAUACAACAAGCUACUCCCAAUUUUGCUGUGAAAAUUGGAUAUGAAUUUGUACAUAUUUGUAUCACAAUGUAGAAAAACUGCCAAUGAAUUCCAAUGGAAAUCUAUGUGUAUUACUACAAUACAAUGUUGUUAAUUCACAUUUUUACAUUAAAGACUAUUCUCAACUUGAAAUCUUAUAAAUAAAUGAUUUUGAAGUCCAA